Molecule: non-coding RNA, 30 nt
Filed under: Rattus norvegicus (Norway rat)
Lineage: Eukaryota; Metazoa; Chordata; Mammalia; Rodentia; Muridae
Source: RNAcentral
UCUCUUACAGUCUUAAAGAGACCUCAAGGA